RNAcentral lists this ribosomal RNA (375 nucleotides) under uncultured prokaryote. RNAcentral describes it as "bacterial SSU rRNA". It matches the Rfam family "Bacterial small subunit ribosomal RNA", at positions 524 to 896 of the family's 1533-position model. The record is from RNAcentral.
UACGUAGGGUGCAAGCGUUGUCCGGAUUUAUUGGGCGUAAAGAGCUCGUAGGCGGUCAGUCACGUCGGAUGUGAAAACUCAGAGCUUAACUCUGAGCCUGCAUUCGAUACGGGCUGACUAGAGUGUUGUAGGGGAGACUGGAACUCCUGGUGUAGCGGUGAAAUGCGCAGAUAUCAGGAAGAACACCGGUGGCGAAGGCGGGUCUCUGGGCAACUACUGACGCUGAGGAGCGAAAGCGUGGGGAGCAAACAGGAUUAGAUACCCUGGUAGUCCACGCCGUAAACGGUGGGCGCUAGGUGUGGGGAACAUUCCACGUUCUCCGUGCCGCAGCUAACGCAUUAAGCGCCCCGCCUGGGGAGUACGGCCGCAAGGCUA